UAGAAUAGAAUAGAAUAGAAUAGAAUAGGUUUCAUUUGGCCAAGAGUGAUUAGCCACACAAGGAAUUUGUCUAUGGUGCAUAAGCUCUCAGUGUACAUGCAAAACAACAGAGUAAUAAUAUUCAUAAUAAUGAUACCAAUAAUAGGAGGUAGUAAAGAAGACGAGAAGGAUAAUAAUAAUACUACAGCCAUACUACAUGGGUAAAUCUACUUGGACAUAACACAGUACUAUGGGGAUUAGGUGUUCAGCAGAAUGAUGGUAUGCGGAAAACCUGUCUCUAUGUCUAGUUGUUUUGGCAUGCAAUGCUCUAUGGCGGCGUCAUGAGGGGAGGAGUGUGAAACCGGUUAUGUCCAGGAUGUGAUGGGUUUGUAGAUAUUUUCUCAGCCCUCUUUCUGACCCAUAAUAUAUAGGUCUUCAUUGGAAGGCAGGCUGGUUGCAACUGUUUUUUUUUGUUUGUUUGUUUGUUUGUUUGUUUGUUUUGCAGUGCUAACUAUCUGUUGAAGUCUGUACCUCUCCUAUUUGGUCGCUGUACAAAACAGUUAUAUAAAGUAGGUGAAUAUUAUUCUUGGAUAAUGAUCAAUAAAAGCCAUUGUGUAUAUGCUCCUGGAAAGCCUUAUGUUUUCACAGAUCGGUCGACACCAAGAACACUGAACACUGUUUUGAUUUAGAUGAAACAACGGUUGUGUAAGUUAGCUUGCCAUUGAGAACUAAUUCAUUUCAAAACAUCUGCCUCUGUUGAGAGCCUUUGUUGGCUGCUGUCUCCAUCAUUCCAGCAUGUGGUCCAGAAGGUCACAUCUUUCGCCAUAGGGCCACGUGUGGAUUCAUUCAUUGUGUGGCUUAUUUGGAGAGAUCACUCUUUUCUUUCGUGGCAGACAGUCGCUACACAUCUAGAGGGCAGAUCUUCCUGGGCUCUGGCAAUGACUCCUGACUGGUUCGCUUGUCAUCUUUAAACAGAACCAUAAAUCUCGCUCACAAAAGUUGUUUAAAGGAAGACUUCUCCGCCUUCUAGCCAGAGAGUCGACUCACAAGCCUUUUGAAACACUGGUCUCUCCAAGCAUUAAACGUUUCAUGUCACAGGUAUGCUUUGACUUAAGAAAAAAGGCAUUCCUUCCAUGUUGGGGCUACCUGAAACAGCAAGAAUUUUGGGAACAAAGGUCAGCAAUGUUUUUUUUUAAAUACAACAUAUCAUCACAAACAAGAUCUAAUUACUUCCUAACUUGCAACUCAAGGGGCAAUUUGCUACACAUCCCACACCAUAAACGCUGCUGACAUAAACUUGCCCGCAUUUUGCUUAAUGUUUCUAAGGCAGCUCUACUUCAUUAAUAUACGCUUCUAAUUUUAUGCACUCUUGUUUGAUUCAUUAACCCCUGGAUAAAAUGAAUGAGCUGUUGAUUUAGGGAUACUGUUCAUGAGAUGCUGGGAAGUUAUGGAUCACCUCCUUCCAAUCAUCCUUUUUUUUAUUAUUAUCAAUCUUUUGGCCCCUCCCUUAUUCCAAAGCUACAACAGCAAAUGCUAGCAAAUUAUAUGGCAUGGUCAGGGAGCUAUUAUAUGCCCUACCUUUACCAUCAAGAGUCUAGAACCAUAGAACAUAGAAUAAUAGAGCUGGAAGGGACCUUGGAAGUCUUCUAGUCCAGCCUCCC
Crotalus tigris (Tiger rattlesnake) is the source of this 1640-nucleotide long non-coding RNA. RefSeq lists it as uncharacterized. The record is from RefSeq and is a predicted model, not a curated record. NCBI's taxonomy places the organism in Eukaryota, Metazoa, Chordata, Lepidosauria, Squamata, Viperidae. The transcript is spliced from 3 exons.